ACCACCCUGGGGAGUUCGUGAUCGUCCGAGCGGUUCCUGAGCCAAUGAGAUAAGAACGGGGUCCGCCCUGUCCCGGCCCGUGCGCAUGCCCGCCUUGUUGCGGGAAGCCUGACGGCCGGGCGGUGGAGCCCAACCUGGGAAACCAGGUUCAGAACCAACGACGACACGGCGCCCCGGGGCCCAG
Molecule: non-coding RNA, 184 nt
Filed under: Desulfovibrio sp.
Lineage: Bacteria; Pseudomonadati; Thermodesulfobacteriota; Desulfovibrionia; Desulfovibrionales; Desulfovibrionaceae
Description: 6S RNA
Rfam family: 6S / SsrS RNA
About the family: E. coli 6S RNA was the first non coding RNA to be sequenced, but its function was unknown until recently.
Source: RNAcentral